RNAcentral lists this ribosomal RNA (253 nucleotides) under uncultured bacterium. Its description in RNAcentral is "partial 16S ribosomal RNA". It matches the Rfam family "Bacterial small subunit ribosomal RNA", at positions 524 to 776 of the family's 1533-position model. The record is from RNAcentral.
UACGGAGGGUGCGAACGUUGCUCGGAAUCAUUGGGCGUAAAGAGCGCGUAGGCGGCCCGGAAAGUCGGAUGUGAAAACCCGGGGCUCAACCCCGGGCCUGCAUCCGAUACUCCCGGGCUGGAGGCAGGUAGGGGAGAUCGGAAUUCCUGGUGUAGCGGUGAAAUGCGCAGAUAUCAGGAGGAACACCGGUGGCGAAGGCGGAUCUCUGGGCCUGUCCUGACGCUGAGGCGCGAAAGCUAGGGGAGCGAACAGG